GACGAACGCUGGCGGCGUGCUUAACACAUGCAAGUCGAACGGAAAGGCCCUGAUCUUGUGGGGUGCUCGAGUGGCGAACGGGUGAGUAACACGUGAGUAACCUGUCCUUGACUUUGGGAUAAAUUCAGGAAACUGGGGCUCAUAUCGGAUAGGAGCUCCUGCUGCAUGGGGUGGGUUGGAGAGUUUCGGCUGUUGGGGAUGGACUCGCGGCUUCUCAGCUUCGUGGUUGGGUAGUUGCUUACCAAGGCUUUGACGGGUAGCCGGCAUGAGAGGGGUACCGGGCACCUUGGGCCUGAGAUACGGCCCAGACGCGUACGGGAGGCAGUAGUGGGGAAUAUUGCACAAUGGGCGGAAGCCUGAGACAGCAGCGCCGCGUGCGGAAUGACCUGUUUCGGGUUGUAAACAGAUUUCGCCUGUGAUGAAGAGGGAGUGACGGUAAUGGGUAAAGAAGCACCGGCUAACUACGUG
RNAcentral lists this ribosomal RNA (468 nucleotides) under uncultured bacterium. RNAcentral's name for it is "partial 16S ribosomal RNA". It matches the Rfam family "Bacterial small subunit ribosomal RNA", at positions 28 to 507 of the family's 1533-position model. The record is from RNAcentral.